RNAcentral lists this small RNA (736 nucleotides) under Pongo abelii (Sumatran orangutan). Its description in RNAcentral is "processed transcript". Lineage: Eukaryota; Metazoa; Chordata; Mammalia; Primates; Hominidae. The record is from RNAcentral.
GGCCUGGUACAGAAGAGCUUGUACAUUCAGGCUAAGUAUCAGCGUUUACGGUUCACUGGCCCAAGGGGAUUUAUCACUCAUAAGUUCAGAGAAAGAUUAAUGAGAAAAAAGAAGUUUUAAUAGUGUAAGAUCCUAGUGAAAGGAAUAUACAGAUGUUGCCACAGGAAUCUAAUCUGAAAUCGUACAAAUGGAAAUGACACUACAGGAGGAUGUUUGGGAGCAUCUCUCUCUUUUUGUCAGGAGUUAGAAGUGACACUAAGGCACUAAUACUGUAACUUCUUGAUAAAAUAACCUUAUUUUUUAGUAGUGGAAUGCUGCAACUUUUUACACCUAACAAUUGCUUUUAAAUUACAGUAUUCAAUUUAAAAGUUGUAUUAACUACAGUUUCCUUUGCAAAAAGUCUCAAAAGAAUCACUUGAAGGGCAUUAUUUGUUGAUGCAUUUUUCUCUGAGCAUGGUUUCAUAGAGAGAACUUCACCAAGUAAUAUUCAGACGUUUAUAUGUUGAAAGUUUUGCUUACGUAAUAAAAACAAAAACAAGUAUCUGAAUUGUAAAGUGUCUGUACAUGAAAGAACUUUAAACAGUGGCCUUAUGGUAGAAAAUUUUAUACCGGAUUUUUCUUUUUCUGAUGACAUUUUGGCUUAUAACUCGAAGUUUUCUUAAGUUUCUGAAGAUCAAGGCCUAUAUAAUUCAUACAUUUCAUAUUAUAAGAAGGCAAGAGACAAGGUGCUUCAAAU